GCCGGGUGUGGUGGUGCACACCUAUAAUCCCAGCAGCUUGGGAGGCUGAGGCAGGAGGAUUGUAAGCUCAAGGCCAGCCUCAGCAACUAACUGAGGCCCUAAGUAAAUUAGCAAGAGCGGGUCUCAG
This 127-nucleotide small RNA is filed under the name Marmota monax (woodchuck). The record is from RNAcentral. Lineage: Eukaryota; Metazoa; Chordata; Mammalia; Rodentia; Sciuridae.